RNAcentral lists this ribosomal RNA (397 nucleotides) under uncultured bacterium. Its description in RNAcentral is "partial 16S ribosomal RNA". It matches the Rfam family "Bacterial small subunit ribosomal RNA", at positions 523 to 918 of the family's 1533-position model. The record is from RNAcentral.
AUACGUAGGGGGCGAGCGUUGUCCGGAAUGAUUGGGCGUAAAGGGCGCGUAGGCGGCCCGGUAAGUCUGGAGUGAAAGUCCUGUUUUUAAGAUGGGAGUUGCUUUGGAUACUGUCGGGCUUGAGUGCAGGAGAGGUAAGUGGAAUUCCCAGUGUAGCGGUGAAAUGCGUAGAGAUUGGGAGGAACACCAGUGGCGAAGGCGACUUACUGGACUGUAACUGACGCUGAGGCGCGAAAGUGUGGGGAGCAAACAGGAUUAGAUACCCUGGUAGUCCACACUGUAAACGAUGAAUGCUAGGUGUAGGGGGUAUCGACCCCUUCUGUGCCGCAGUCAACACAAUAAGCAUUCCGCCUGGGGAGUACGGCCGCAAGGUUGAAACUCAAAUGAAUUGGCGGGG